This is a long non-coding RNA of Dama dama (fallow deer), 539 nucleotides long. RefSeq lists it as uncharacterized. The transcript is spliced from 3 exons. The record is from RefSeq and is a predicted model, not a curated record. NCBI's taxonomy places the organism in Eukaryota, Metazoa, Chordata, Mammalia, Artiodactyla, Cervidae.
CCAAGAAGGAUGAAAUACCGCCACAGAGUGACAGGUGUCACCGCAUCCAGUAGGCUGAAUUCUUCCUGGGAACAGCCCUGCAGGACAAAGAGAAAGUGCAUUGGAGGUACACUGAUUGAUCUGGGGGAUACAGGAGGGAGCCCCAUCUUGUUCCUAAGGAGACUAAGAUGAUGGAUUAGAAUGAGGUCUGUUUUUGGGAAGAGGUGAACCAGGAUCACCCGGAGGACCGGCACAUGUGAGAACCCCAGGGAGUUAUUUUCUGUGCCUCAAUUGGAGCCACCUCCUCCUUCAGUGACCAUUUCCCUCAAGGACCAAGAGACCUCCUCAGAUGAGGUGUGCAUGUAUCUUCAGGGAAGGUUAUAAGUUUGGCUGUGUCCCAACAUGCUCUGAGGCAGAGGUUUGGGGCUUAGCCAGUCAGACCUCCUUUUUACCUGUCUGACUGAGACUUCCCAGCAGAGCUCUGGAAAGUCAGAGAAAAUGUCAGCUGGAGUGUUUGAGCAAGUAGAAACAGGAUGUAUUUCACACCGAAGGUAAUUACA